Molecule: transfer RNA, 69 nt
Filed under: Marmota marmota marmota (Alpine marmot)
Lineage: Eukaryota; Metazoa; Chordata; Mammalia; Rodentia; Sciuridae
Also listed under: 2 other names
Rfam family: tRNA
About the family: Transfer RNA (tRNA) molecules are approximately 80 nucleotides in length. Their secondary structure includes four short double-helical elements and three loops (D, anti-codon, and T loops).
Source: Rfam by way of RNAcentral
GGGUUUGUGGCUCAGUGGUAGAGCACUUGCCUAGCAUGUGUGAAGCAAUAGGUUCAAUCCCCAGAACCA